CGCUAGCUACAGGCUUAACACAUGCAAGUCGAGGGGCAGCAUGGUCUUAGCUUGCUAAGGCCGAUGGCGACCGGCGCACGGGUGAGUAACACGUAUCCAACCUGCCGUCUACUCUUGGACAGCCUUCUGAAAGGAAGAUUAAUACAAGAUGGCAUCAUGAGUCCGCAUGUUCACAUGAUUAAAGGUAUUCCGGUAGACGAUGGGGAUGCGUUCCAUUAGAUAGUAGGCGGGGUAACGGCCCACCUAGUCUUCGAUGGAUAGGGGUUCUGAGAGGAAGGUCCCCCACAUUGGAACUGAGACACGGUCCAAACUCCUACGGGAGGCAGCAGUGAGGAAUAUUGGUCAAUGGGCGAGAGCCUGAACCAGCCAAGUAGCGUGAAGGAUGACUGCCCUAUGGGUUGUAAACUUCUUUUAUAAAGGAAUAAAGUCGGGUAUGGAUACCCGUUUGCAUGUACUUUAUGAAUAAGGAUCGGCUAACUCCGUGCCAGCAGCCGCGGUAAUACGGAGGAUCCGAGCGUUAUCCGGAUUUAUUGGGUUUAAAGGGAGCGUAGAUGGAUGUUUAAGUCAGUUGUGAAAGUUUGCGGCUCAACCGUAAAAUUGCAGUUGAUACUGGAUAUCUUGAGUGCAGUUGAGGCAGGCGGAAUUCGUGGUGUAGCGGUGAAAUGCUUAGAUAUCACGAAGAACUCCGAUUGCGAAGGCAGCCUGCUAAGCUGCAACUGACAUUGAGGCUCGAAAGUGUGGGUAUCAAACAGGAUUAGAUACCCUGGUAGUCCACACGGUAAACGAUGAAUACUCGCUGUUUGCGAUAUACGGCAAGCGGCCAAGCGAAAGCGUUAAGUAUUCCACCUGGGGAGUACGCCGGCAACGGUGAAACUCAAAGGAAUUGACGGGGGCCCGCACAAGCGGAGGAACAUGUGGUUUAAUUCGAUGAUACGCGAGGAACCUUACCCGGGCUUAAAUUGCAGAUGAAUUACGGUGAAAGCCGUAAGCCGCAAGGCAUCUGUGAAGGUGCUGCAUGGUUGUCGUCAGCUCGUGCCGUGAGGUGUCGGCUUAAGUGCCAUAACGAGCGCAACCCUUGUUGUCAGUUACUAACAGGUUCCGCUGAGGACUCUGACAAGACUGCCAUCGUAAGAUGUGAGGAAGGUGGGGAUGACGUCAAAUCAGCACGGCCCUUACGUCCGGGGCUACACACGUGUUACAAUGGGGGGUACAGAGGGCCGCUACCACGCGAGUGGAUGCCAAUCCCCAAAACCUCUCUCAGUUCGGACUGGAGUCUGCAACCCGACUCCACGAAGCUGGAUUCGCUAGUAAUCGCGCAUCAGCCACGGCGCGGUGAAUACGUUCCCGGGCCUUGUACACACCGCCCGUCAAGCCAUGGGAGCCGGGGGUACCUGAAGUGCGUAACCGCGAGGAGCGCCCUAGGGUAAAACUGGUGACUG
RNAcentral lists this ribosomal RNA (1439 nucleotides) under uncultured organism. RNAcentral describes it as "SSU rRNA". It matches the Rfam family "Bacterial small subunit ribosomal RNA". The record is from RNAcentral.